AUCUGACUAAAGAGUCUCAAACAAGACGAAAUGCGUAUUUUGGAU
Molecule: non-coding RNA, 45 nt
Filed under: Trichobilharzia regenti
Lineage: Eukaryota; Metazoa; Platyhelminthes; Trematoda; Strigeidida; Schistosomatidae
Source: RNAcentral